Molecule: long non-coding RNA, 3355 nt
Organism: Daphnia magna
Lineage: Eukaryota; Metazoa; Arthropoda; Branchiopoda; Diplostraca; Daphniidae
Exons: 8
Source: RefSeq, a predicted model, not a curated record
AGCUGACUGACUAUUCUAAUUCCGCCUUUAAGACUCAAAUCUAUAUUGUUAUCCCAAUAUAGAUUUGAGCUGGAAGGGAAAAGCAUCCUUAAAAACAUCGAUAAAGGAUGUCUCAGUCCAAAAAAUCCAAAAAAGGAGAUUGUAUUUACCUGGGUUGAGGCAUACAAUAUUAUUGACGUUUGUUUUUCUUUCUAUCUCGUACAUGUUAUGACGGCUAGAGAACAAGUUACAGAAAAAAAACUAGAGGGUGUUAUUAUUCCCUAAUGUAUGACUGAUCAUUUGUAACAUGUUUGUAACAAGCCAUUAGCAUGAAGUAUAUAAUUUUCCGAUAAUGAUUCUGUCUAGAUGAACUCAUGAGUACACCACCGACUACGAUUUUUAUUAUAUUUCUCUCAAUAGGGCGUUAGCUGUAAUAGGGAUGUAACACAGGUUUGAGGCUUGAGGUAGUUCAGAUAUGUUUUAUAAGUUUUGUGGGUUGUCGCACUGCCUUCCCGAACUAGUGUUUUUGUAAAGCUGACAUAACGACGAAUUGGACGGUCAUGUUUUUGCGAGUUUUAGGCUUUUUAGUUACGAAGGAGAAAGCAAUGAAAUCCAAUUUUAGGCUUGUAUUCGUCGCUAGAUGGCGUUCGGGUUGAAAAACGCACGCAUAGUAACCAUAGUAACCACAGGUGACAGGUAUGAGAGAAAGAGUUUGUAUAUGCCUGUAACGUGUUUUUAUGAAAUAGAUUUAUUAAUGAUACAGUCUUUUAAUUGGAAGGGGAAACGGGUAUUAGGACUACACAGUAUUAAAAGACUCUUCCCUGAAGGAAAUUUGCAGUUGUGGACUUUCUUUAGAUGACUCUUCUAUCAUAAAUAUUUUCCUGCUUCUUGGAACAAAAAACAUAUGAUGUCUUGAUGCCAACUAAGUGGCAUUGGAAAGAUUGUAAAAAGAUGUUAAAGGAAAAACCUAAAGUUGGAGGACGAUACAUUUGUUUCCUGUUACUAGUUUUCUAAAACAAAUGGUAAAUUGGUAAAAUGAAACAACACAUGACCUAUUCCUUUAAAUCAAUUAUUUUCACAAGUGGAGAUGAUUGAUUCCACAAUCUUCAGCUUCCCAGGCAGACACCCAUCCACAAAGCCAUGAAGUCAGCAACCAAUGUGUGGAAUCUGAUAUCCUAGCCCUCAAAGUCCCAGUUUAUUAAUAUGCUUAGGGCUUCUUCGCGCGCUAAUCCCAUAAAGACUCAUCAUAACGAUUCCGAAAUGGUUCGUCAGUUGCGCCUUCACGGCCGUGUAGUAGAACCUAUUAAAGAUGAAGUAAGGUUUUAGGUCGCGAGCUGGGUCUGUCCGCAGAAUUACUGGAACGUCACCCGUUUCCUGGUCCCGGUUUGUCAAUUGGAAAUCAUUUACGCCAAAGAACUGUUCGUGGAAGCUGAUUUCGGUGAGACGCAAGUGCUGAUUCGUUUGAUGGUCGAUUAUGCUAACAUUGCAGCCAAGGAACAUGCGUUGCUCAAUCGGAUUGAAAUCGUGACCUCGGAAGAAGAGCGUAUACUUCUGGAAGAACCGUCCAGUCGCAACCAGUGUGUUGCCACGUUACUGCCUAUUCGCACUGCCGGUGUUCAGGGAGAUUGCCGAUCUUAUAGCUAUUGCGUAGCACUGAGCUCUGAUCAGACACAACCAAACUGGAAAGUAUUACUGUAGGAAAGGGUACGUAGGCUUCUAAUAGUGAAGUACAGCUCUGACGUCUUUAGUAAGCGGAAAAGGUACUACUGUAUAUUGAAGUUUUAGAUGACGAUUUUAAGAAUGGACUCUUUUAGCAGUGGCACCCAAUCUUUAUUCUUAAAACCCAGAGGUGUUCUUCACUAUUCAGGAUGAUUGAUUGAUGAUACUUGUUGGUUAAACCAUGAAGAACACCAAUACAUGGAUAAGUGGAAGGUUAUAAAAGUAUAAAACUGUAAUUCCUUAUGGCAUUUUCAUUCACGCAUGCGCGGCAGUUCGUGAGCAGACGAAGCAUCGAAAGAGCCUAGCGCAGUCUAGCUGCAUCCUACCAGAUACUAGUAGAACCCGAAACAUUGUUUUGACAAGUACUGUCAUAUUUCGGUUGCAGAUUUUCACUAAAUACCAAUAAAAAGAUUCACAUUUUCGUGAUCCUCGUCAAAUUUGGGGCCGACUCCAUGUAUCAGCUCAAAAUACCCGAAAAUCGUCAAAGAAUCGCAAAUUUUCCUGAACAAAAAUAAAACGAAAACAAAGUGCCGAUUUUUUGUACAAAAAAGUCGGGCUUAAUAGCUGAAAUAUAUUUCAAUAGAUGGCAGUGCAUCUAAGGUCUAGUCGAAUUUACAUUCGUCUGAAGUGCGCCAUCGCCAUCGUGAACGAAGCAUGGGUCACUACAAAUCAUCUUCUGAUACGUGGUCCGGUUUAUAAAAAUCUUUUAUUGCUUUAAUAUGUCAUUUUGUAAUUCCUUGGGCUUAAACACUCUCUAGUCAACAAAGAAACUGCUUUUCUCACUUUACUUUUACCAAUUGUUUUUAUACUCGUACAUUUAGUUGAUUAUAGAAAACAUCUUGCCAUUCACACGAAUGCCUUUGUCUUAUCUGAUCGUGUUAACAUGCUAAUUCGUUCUUGCCACUGACCGAAGCUUUUUUUUCAAAUUUUGCAUCUUUCUAAAAUUUAAUCACACACGAGCAUUCUGGCAUGUGUCAGGCAACAGGUUUCAGGAAUGGCAUGGUCCCCUGUUGAGCCUGGCCUACACCCUCGGUUAUUGAAAAAUGGUAUUGGAACAAGUAAUUACAUGGAGCUGGAGCGUCAAUUUGGGACUUGAUUUGUCAUCUUUUAGUUGAGGUGGAAAAACACAGAUUGGACUCACCAUUUUAUUCCCACACUUAUCAUUGGAAUUCUGGGAUGGUAGCUGUUGUUGCAGGACACUCUCCUUGGUUCGUUAGUGAAGUUCCAGAAAGCAGCAUUCCAAGAGCAAGAAUACAAUUUGCCAGCCGUCAACUCAAUAUAGAUUGUUUAACUUUGUUUUCUUGCCUUGAUGGUGAAAUUGAAUUAUAUUGAGAUUUAAAAAAUUUUGAAGCUAUUUGCCUACUAGUGAGAAAACAUGUGAAGAGUUGCUGAAAUGUGUCAACAGAGCAAAAUGCUAAACAUGGAUUAAAUUCGAAAAUAACUAGUUUGAGUUGCAGUGGCAGAAAUUUAAAGUUGGUGCCAGGAUAAUGGCUAUCCAUGUUGAGAAUUUGAAUUGCAAAUUCUAAUUCUACCUAUAGGUAAAAGUAUAUAAGUACUUGUUGCCUAUAGAUUGCUCAAUGUGAAUCUAAGUUUGCAUGUCUUGAAAUUGGUUUUCUUCUUCAAUUAUAAAAUUCAAUACACAAAGAUAUAAAUGGAA